Molecule: ribosomal RNA, 445 nt
Filed under: uncultured bacterium
Lineage: Bacteria
Description: bacterial SSU rRNA
Rfam family: Bacterial small subunit ribosomal RNA
Source: RNAcentral
AAAGAACAAGCGGCCGAACGGGUGAAGUAACGCGCGGGGACCGCACCCUUUUGGCGGGGGACAACCUUGGGGAAACCAGGGCUAAUACCGCAUAAUCUCUACGGAGUAAAGCGGGGGAUCUUCGGACCUCGCGCCAUUGGAGCGGCCCGUGUCUGAUUAGUUUGACGGCGGGGUAACAGCCCACCGUGGCUACAAUCGGUAGCUGGUCUGAGAGGAUGAUCAGCCACACCGGGACUGAGACACGGCCCGGACUCCUACGGGAGGCAGCAGUGGGGAAUAUUGGACAAUGGGGCAACCCUAAUCCAGCGUGCCGCGUGUGUGAAGAAGGCUUCGGGUUGAAAGACUUUCGCGGGGAAGAACUUCGCGCUCUAACAUAGCGCGCACUGACGGACCCGAGAAGAGCGCGGCUACUCCGUGCAGCACCGCGGAUACGGAGGCGCAGCGU